CUCCUCUCAGAGUCACACCUGGAGAGUUUCCAGUAUUCCACCAGUCUCGAUUACGGGAGGGAGAGUCAAGCAGUGGCCUACCCAUUCCAUUCCUAGCUUGGCCUGUGGCCAGCGAGUGGAAAGCAAUCUGCUACAAGU
This 138-nucleotide small nucleolar RNA is filed under the name Ornithorhynchus anatinus (platypus). The record is from RNAcentral. Lineage: Eukaryota; Metazoa; Chordata; Mammalia; Monotremata; Ornithorhynchidae.